UACUGACUAGCUCUCAUAUUUUACUCCUUUAUUUAAUUCUAAUCUUUCUUAUGGAAUCUAUCUUAAGUUCUUGCUUAAUGUUGUGUCAUGUUCUCUGAAUAAUGUAGUUGCUACCCAAAGGCCACAGCUUGCUGGUACAGAUGGAUCAUCAAUAGGUACCUCAUCAGUAAAUUGGGUCCUGAAAUUAAACGAGGCUUGCAGGAGUAAGUUAAUACUUUUGAUUUAUGAAUUUG
Molecule: unclassified non-coding RNA, 233 nt
Filed under: Hevea brasiliensis (rubber tree)
Lineage: Eukaryota; Viridiplantae; Streptophyta; Magnoliopsida; Malpighiales; Euphorbiaceae
Source: RNAcentral